Molecule: ribosomal RNA, 1509 nt
Filed under: Helicobacter pylori
Lineage: Bacteria; Pseudomonadati; Campylobacterota; Epsilonproteobacteria; Campylobacterales; Helicobacteraceae
Description: bacterial SSU rRNA
Rfam family: Bacterial small subunit ribosomal RNA
Source: RNAcentral
UUUAUGGAGAGUUUGAUCCUGGCUCAGAGUGAACGCUGGCGGCGUGCCUAAUACAUGCAAGUCGAACGAUGAAGCUUCUAGCUUGCUAGAGUGCUGAUUAGUGGCGCACGGGUGAGUAACGCAUAGGUCAUGUGCCUCUUAGUUUGGGAUAGCCAUUGGAAACGAUGAUUAAUACCAGAUACUCCCUACGGGGGAAAGAUUUAUCGCUAAGAGAUCAGCCUAUGUCCUAUCAGCUUGUUGGUAAGGUAAUGGCUUACCAAGGCUAUGACGGGUAUCCGGCCUGAGAGGGUGAACGGACACACUGGAACUGAGACACGGUCCAGACUCCUACGGGAGGCAGCAGUAGGGAAUAUUGCUCAAUGGGGGAAACCCUGAAGCAGCAACGCCGCGUGGAGGAUGAAGGUUUUAGGAUUGUAAACUCCUUUUGUUAGAGAAGAUAAUGACGGUAUCUAACGAAUAAGCACCGGCUAACUCCGUGCCAGCAGCCGCGGUAAUACGGAGGGUGCAAGCGUUACUCGGAAUCACUGGGCGUAAAGAGCGCGUAGGCGGGAUAGUCAGUCAGGUGUGAAAUCCUAUGGCUUAACCAUAGAACUGCAUUUGAAACUACUAUUCUAGAGUGUGGGAAAGGUAGGUGGAAUUCUUGGUGUAGGGGUAAAAUCCGUAGAGAUCAAGAGGAAUACUCAUUGCGAAGGCGACCUGCUGGAACAUUACUGACGCUGAUUGCACGAAAGCGUGGGGAGCAAACAGGAUUAGAUACCCUGGUAGUCCACGCCCUAAACGAUGGAUGCUAGUUGUUGGAGGGCUUAGUCUCUCCAGUAAUGCAGCUAACGCAUUAAGCAUCCCGCCUGGGGAGUACGGUCGCAAGAUUAAAACUCAAAGGAAUAGACGGGGACCCGCACAAGCGGUGGAGCAUGUGGUUUAAUUCGAAGAUACACGAAGAACCUUACCUAGGCUUGACAUUGAGAGAAUCCGCUAGAAAUAGUGGAGUGUCUAGCUUGCUAGACCUUGAAAACAGGUGCUGCACGGCUGUCGUCAGCUCGUGUCGUGAGAUGUUGGGUUAAGUCCCGCAACGAGCGCAACCCCCUUUCUUAGUUGCUAACAGGUCAUGCUGAGAACUCUAAGGAUACUGCCUCCGUAAGGAGGAGGAAGGUGGGGACGACGUCAAGUCAUCAUGGCCCUUACGCCUAGGGCUACACACGUGCUACAAUGGGGUGCACAAAGAGAAGCAAUACUGCGAAGUGGAGCCAAUCUUCAAAACACCUCUCAGUUCGGAUUGUAGGCUGCAACUCGCCUGCAUGAAGCUGGAAUCGCUAGUAAUCGCAAAUCAGCCAUGUUGCGGUGAAUACGUUCCCGGGUCUUGUACUCACCGCCCGUCACACCAUGGGAGUUGUGUUUGCCUUAAGUCAGGAUGCUAAAUUGGCUACUGCCCACGGCACACACAGCGACUGGGGUGAAGUCGUAACAAGGUAACCGUAGGUGAACCUGCGGUUGGAUCACCUCCUUUCUAGA